RNAcentral lists this ribosomal RNA (866 nucleotides) under uncultured bacterium. RNAcentral describes it as "bacterial SSU rRNA". It matches the Rfam family "Bacterial small subunit ribosomal RNA", at positions 28 to 896 of the family's 1533-position model. The record is from RNAcentral.
AGCGAACGCUGGCGGCGUGCUUAACACAUGCAAGUCGAUUGCGCGUCCGUAGCAAUACGGAUGGCGCACGGCGCACGGGUGAGUAACACGUGGGCAAUCUGCCCUCGGAUGGGGGAUAACUCGUCGAAAGGCGAGCUAAUACCGCAUGACAUUCCGAAGACUCCGGUCUUUGGAUUCAAAGGCCGCAAGGCCGUCUGAGGAGGAGCCCGCGCCCGAUUAGCUAGUUGGUGAGGUAACGGCUCACCAAGGCUUUGAUCGGUAGCCGGUCUGAGAGGAUGGCCGGCCACACUGGAACUGAGACACGGUCCAGACUCCUACGGGAGGCAGCAGUGGGGAAUAUUGCGCAAUGGGCGAAAGCCUGACGCAGCGACGCCGCGUGGGGGAUGAAGCUUCUCGGAGUGUAAACCCCUUUCGACCCGGACGAAUGACCCGCAAGGGUUUGACGGUACGGGUAUAAGAAGCCCCGGCUAACUACGUGCCAGCAGCCGCGGUAAUACGUAGGGGGCCAGCGUUGCUCGGAAUUACUGGGCGUAAAGGGUUCGUAGGUGGUGCGGUAAGUUGGAAGUGAAAUCUCUGGGCUUAACCCAGAGGCUGCUUUCAAAACUGUCGCGCUCGAGUGCGAGAGAGGUCAGUGGAAUUGCAGGUGUAGCGGUGAAAUGCGUAGAUAUCUGCAGGAACACCCGUGGCGAAGGCGGCUGACUGGAUCGCAACUGACACUGAGGAACGAAAGCUAGGGGAGCAAACAGGAUUAGAUACCCUGGUAGUCCUAGCCCUAAACCAUCGGAACUUGGGGUGGCCCGCGUAGGCGGGUCGUCCCGUAGCUAACGCGUUAAGUUCCGCGCCUGGGGAGUACGGUCGCAAGACUG